GACGAGCCGUGCGAACGUUAUUCGGAAUCAUUGGGCUUAAAGGGCGCGUAGGCGGGCGACAGCGUCGAGUGCUGAAAGCCCCCGGCUCAACCGGGGAAUGGGCCUCGAUACGGGUCGCCUCGAGGCGAGGAGGGGGACCUGGAACUUCCGGUGGAGCGGUGAAAUGCGUUGAGAUCGGAAGGAACCCCGACGGCGAAAGCAAGGUCCUGGACUCGUCCUGACGCUGAGGCGCGAAAGCCAGGGGAGCGAACGGG
Molecule: ribosomal RNA, 254 nt
Filed under: uncultured bacterium
Lineage: Bacteria
Description: partial 16S ribosomal RNA
Rfam family: Bacterial small subunit ribosomal RNA
Source: RNAcentral